GGCUCGUUGGUCUUAGGGGUAUGAUUCUACUUUGGGUGCGAAGAGGUCCCGGGUUCAAAUCCCGGACGACCCA
This 73-nucleotide transfer RNA is filed under the name Astyanax mexicanus (Mexican tetra). It matches the Rfam family "tRNA". Rfam says of the family: Transfer RNA (tRNA) molecules are approximately 80 nucleotides in length. Lineage: Eukaryota; Metazoa; Chordata; Actinopteri; Characiformes; Acestrorhamphidae. The record is from Rfam by way of RNAcentral.